UGGGGAAUAUUGGACAAUGGGCGAAAGCCUGAUCCAGCCAUGCCGCGUGUGUGAAGAAGGUCUUCGGAUUGUAAAGCACUUUAAGUUGGGAGGAAGGGCAGUUACCUAAUACUUAAUUGUUUUGACGUUACCGACAGAAUAAGCACCGGCUAACUCUGUG
RNAcentral lists this ribosomal RNA (160 nucleotides) under uncultured bacterium. RNAcentral describes it as "partial 16S ribosomal RNA". It matches the Rfam family "Bacterial small subunit ribosomal RNA", at positions 355 to 507 of the family's 1533-position model. The record is from RNAcentral.